GACGAGCCGUGCGAACGUUAUUCGGAAUCAUUGGGCUUAAAGGGCGCGUAGGCGGCGGUGUAAGUUGGAAGUGAAAUCCCAUCGGCUCAACCGUGGAAUUGCUCCCAGUACUGCAUCGCUCGAGGGGGAUAGGGGUUUGCGGAACUACCGGUGGAGCGGUGAAAUGUGUUGAUAUCGGUGGGAACGCCAGUGGCGAAAGCGGCAAACUUGACCCUUCCUGACGCUGAGGCGCGAAAGCUAGGGGAGCAAACGGG
RNAcentral lists this ribosomal RNA (254 nucleotides) under uncultured bacterium. RNAcentral describes it as "partial 16S ribosomal RNA". It matches the Rfam family "Bacterial small subunit ribosomal RNA", at positions 524 to 776 of the family's 1533-position model. The record is from RNAcentral.